UACGGGGGGGGCAAGCGUUGUUCGGAAUUACUGGGCGUAAAGGGCCAGUAGGCGGCCAACUAAGUCGGAUGUGAAAUCCCCAGGCUUAACCGCGGGCCUGCAGCCGAUACGGGCAGGCUAGAGUUCGGUAGGGGAGACUGGAAUUCCUGGUGUAGCGGUGAAAUGCGCAGAUAUCAGGAGGAACACCGGUGGCGAAGGCGGAUCUCUGGGCCAUUACUGACGCUGAGGAGCGAAAGCGUGGGGAGCGAACAGG
RNAcentral lists this ribosomal RNA (253 nucleotides) under uncultured bacterium. RNAcentral's name for it is "partial 16S ribosomal RNA". It matches the Rfam family "Bacterial small subunit ribosomal RNA", at positions 524 to 776 of the family's 1533-position model. The record is from RNAcentral.